AUUGAACGCUGGCGGAAUGCUUUACACAUGCAAGUCGAACGGCAGCACGGACUUCGGUCUGGUGGUGAGUGGCGAACGGGUGAGUAAUGUAUCGGAACGUGCACAGUCGUGGGGGAUAACGUAGUGAAAAUUACGCUAAUACCGCAUACGAUCUAUGGAUGAAAGCGGGGGAUCGCACGACAUCGCGCGAUUGGAGCGGCCGAUAUCAGAUUAGGUAGUUGGUGGGGUAAAGGCCCACCAAGCCAACGAUCUGUAGCUGGUCUGAGAGGACGACCAGCCACACUGGAACUGAGACACGGUCCAGACUCCUACGGGAGGCAGCAGUGGGGAAUUUUGGACAAUGGGCGAAAGCCUGAUCCAGCCAUUCCGCGUGCAGGAUGAAGGCCCUCGGGUUGUAAACUGCUUUUGUACAGAACGAAAAGGUUUCUACUAAUACUAGGAGCUCAUGACGGUACUGUAAGAAUAAGCACCGGCUAACUACGUGCCAGCAGCCGCUGUAA
Molecule: ribosomal RNA, 500 nt
Filed under: uncultured bacterium
Lineage: Bacteria
Description: partial 16S ribosomal RNA
Rfam family: Bacterial small subunit ribosomal RNA
Source: RNAcentral